GGCGCGGUGGCAGAGUGGUCGAUUGCGGCAGUCUUGAAAACUGUUGAACCCUCACGGGUUUCGUGGGUUCGAAUCCCACCCGCGCCG
This 87-nucleotide transfer RNA is filed under the name Gemmatimonadales bacterium. RNAcentral describes it as "tRNA-Ser". It matches the Rfam family "tRNA". From Rfam's summary of the family: Transfer RNA (tRNA) molecules are approximately 80 nucleotides in length. Their secondary structure includes four short double-helical elements and three loops (D, anti-codon, and T loops). Further hydrogen bonds mediate the characteristic L-shaped molecular structure. tRNAs have two regions of fundamental functional importance: the anti-codon, which is responsible for specific mRNA codon recognition, and the 3' end, to which the tRNAs corresponding amino acid is attached (by aminoacyl-tRNA synthetases). tRNAs cope with the degeneracy of the genetic code in two manners: having more than one tRNA (with a specific anti-codon) for a particular amino acid; and 'wobble' base-pairing, i.e. permitting non-standard base-pairing at the 3rd anti-codon position. The record is from RNAcentral. Lineage: Bacteria; Pseudomonadati; Gemmatimonadota; Gemmatimonadia; Gemmatimonadales.